AUCGCUUCAAAGUGCAGUAUCUGUUUUUAUCAGCUUAAUAUCUGAUACGUCCCUUACAAGGGACUUCGAUAUUAAACUGAUUUUUGUAACUGGGCGGGGCGUAAAAAAGUUCUUAAUAGUGUUUUUUUAUUCAAU
RNAcentral lists this small nuclear RNA (135 nucleotides) under Lingula anatina. RNAcentral describes it as "U2 spliceosomal RNA". It matches the Rfam family "U2 spliceosomal RNA". Rfam says of the family: U2 is a small nuclear RNA (snRNA) component of the spliceosome (involved in pre-mRNA splicing). Complementary binding between U2 snRNA (in an area lying towards the 5' end but 3' to hairpin I) and the branchpoint sequence (BPS) of the intron results the bulging out of an unpaired adenosine, on the BPS, which initiates a nucleophilic attack at the intronic 5' splice site, thus starting the first of two transesterification reactions that mediate splicing. The record is from Rfam by way of RNAcentral. Lineage: Eukaryota; Metazoa; Brachiopoda; Lingulata; Lingulida; Lingulidae.